CUGUCGCUCGGCGCCAGCGUCUCUAGUUUCUGACGUGGCGUUAGAAUCUCUCCUCUCGCGAGAGGAUCCGCGAAAGCGUCCAGGUUAAUUGCAAAGCACUAUUUCAGCAUUCCCGUUCUUCAACAGAACACACCUUCAGUCCUCUUUUAGUAGCGGCUGCUUCUUCCACACCAGCAAAGGCACUUUUCAUAAAACCGGGCAAGAGGGAGAGAGCACAAGCAGGGGGAGCAGCAGGC
Molecule: long non-coding RNA, 236 nt
Organism: Neogale vison (American mink)
Lineage: Eukaryota; Metazoa; Chordata; Mammalia; Carnivora; Mustelidae
Exons: 3
Source: RefSeq, a predicted model, not a curated record